AGACUGCUGUGCUAGCAAUCAGCGAGACUCCGUGGGCGUAGGACCCUCCGAGCCAGGUGCGGGAUAUAAUCUCGUCGUGCGCCAUUUUUUAAGCCCGUCGGAAAUGCGCAGUAUUCGGGUGGGAGUGACCCGAUUUUCCAGGUGCCGUCCGUCACCCCUUUCUUUGAUUAGGAAAGGGAACUCCCUGACCCCUAGCACUUCCCGAGUGAGGCAAUGCCUCGCCCUGCUUCGGCUCGCGCACGGUGCGCACCCACUGACCUGCGCCCACUGUCUGGCGCUCCCUAGUGAGAUGAACCCGGUACCUCAGAUGGAAAUGCAGAAAUCACCCGUCUUCUGCGUCGCUCAGGCUGAUUGCUGCAGACCGGAGCUGUUCCUAUUCGGCCAUCUUGCCUCCUCCCCCGGAAUUUUCUUAAUUGACCCUGGGCCAGGGAAAGAAAUGAAUGAAGAUGCCACCUUAUGCCCAGAACACAUCUCUCAUUCAAUGAUAAAGGAUUUGUGGUUGGGUCAACUUUUGUGAUGCUCAACUCUUUCCUUCGUAAGGACGGGCUCUUUCUCAGGAGGCUUUUGUACUCCCAAUUAACGCACUGCUAAUCUGAUGAAGCUCUAUUUUGUAGCUAUGCCAUCUGGAUCACAUAGCCUCCAAGGCCAGCAGAGCAGAGGAAGACAAAGAGCAGAGCAAGAUAGAGGUGGAAGUUACACGUCCUUUGUGCUUACUUUCUACUGGCCUCAUCGGGUCGCAAGAUCCCACUCUGAUAGGUGCAUGGGGGCUUGGAAAAUUAGAAAAACAUGUGAAUAUUUGGUAGGCACUUACAAUCUCUGCCAGCAUCUGCCCUUCUAAUCAGCAAAUUUUCAAUUACUUUUUUCUUCACCCACAUAAGACAUCUUAAUCCAACCUCAGGGGACACAUCCUGAUGUCCAAUCUAGUCACUACUUCAAGCUUAAUGGGAUACAUGGGCCUCUCUGUCAUGUCUGCAUGAGGCUCUUCUUGAUCAGUUGACCUAUGAACUGAAAGAAAGCAUAUAUCGUUGUCCUCCACUGUCUAUAUCACUGCAUACAGAGUGGUGGAAAGGAACAGAAUAACGAUGGUAUACAUUCCUAUUUGAAAGGGGAUGAUUAGAGACACAAAACAAUGAUAACAUCUCACUGGUCAGACAUGGUGAAAGUUCCCCUGUGCAGGGGAUGGUAAAUGUUCCUUAAUUAGGCCUUGGUUCUGGUCCUCGAGAGGCAUUCUUUUAUCCAUUGUCCUCUAUGGCUGUAAUCUGUGCCCUCCAAGAUAUUCUUUCUUUUCCAUUACUCUCUGAAGUGGUUGAGGGGGAAUACGUCUUCCUUUGGGGCUGCACGGUUUUCUCAGCAAACUUCUUUCCCACAGAACAUUGGCAGCUUAAGGGUUAUAAGUCUCAAAAUGUCAGUGGCUUUUUUUAGUCCAGGCUCAUGAUUUAUUUAACAAUGCAUUUCCCUCAAACACACAGUAGGCUUCUGAUCUAUUUGCUUUAAAUAACUUUCAUGUGGUAGUAACCACACCUAAAGUUCUUUUCUAGGCAUAAUUCUAAAAUCUGCUUUGUUUCGUUGCUUUCUCACUUCUGUGCAUUUCUCUCUCUUCUAUAUGGGGGCUGUGUUGAAGAUGUCUGACUAAGAGGUAGAAAGUUCACACACUUAAUCUGUUUACACUCUUAAUUGAUUCUCAUCCUAAGUCAUUUCAUCCAAUGGGGACAUUUCACUGUGAUUUUGUGGCAGUCUUUUGAGAUGCCAAGUCUUCCUGUUUAGAGCCUAGAAGUAGUCACUGUUCCAACUUAGAAACUUCCAAAUUUCUGAACGAUUUUUAUUCCUUUCAUUUCUGUUUGCAAGCCAGCCAGGGUUUUCCUGAGCUUAUUUCAUUAUUGUAAUCCUCUGCCAAAUACAGCCAACAUUCACUUUCAACAUUGUUUCCCUAAGUCGUUGGACUCAGAAGCCCCACAGUCUGCCUCCCAAAUUACCACAGGAUUUUAAUUUUUGCCAAAUGGUUUCCUACUGCUUAAAAUGGAUUGCCAUUUUUUCCAGCCUCUAACAUUGGAUUCUUCACUGCCCUCUGCCUAAUUACUAAGUCAUUGCUACACGUUUCAGGUUUCUUUGUGUUGGCCUCUUAUCACUGAUAAAAAUUCUGAAUUUGUUAGGAUAGGCUAGACUAUGCUGUGAAAACAAAUAUCCCCAUUUCAAUUCACUUGCUGAACAAAAUGAAGUUAUCUUUUUUGUUCACACAAAAUCUCCAGGUUCCCGUCUGAUUUCACUUUGGGCUGUGGUUGUGAGUAUUGGAGAAGUAUAAAUUGUGGGGCAAAUGGAAAGGAAGUUCAAGGUGACAUUUUGCUUAGCAAACUCGAAGUGUAUGUUGGUAUUAUUGCUUAGGUAUGGUAUAUUUAUUUGUAUGUUUACAUAGUGUGACUGCCUAAUGGCAUUAAAAAAAUCUAUAGUGCAUGGUUCACUGUUUUCCCUUCGCUGAGAAGAGCAAUGAGUAAGAAUAGAAAUAGGAAUAUAUUUUAUCUGAUGAACCAGGGUGAAAAUUAGCAAAAAAUUUGUGACAGUGGAUAUAUAAAAUAAAAUUUCCCCUUAAGUUAUAUAAUCAUGUUUACACUUUUUGCAUAUGUAACUAAAUGAAUGUAUACUUUCUUCUAGUGGCUUACUGGUAGAAAAUAAACACAGAUGUUUUUGUUUUAUAUUUUACAGCAAUGCUUUCAGUAACCUGGAGAGGUACACAUGGCUGGUAUAACAAUUAUCUUCAUUUAAUGAUGUGGAAACACCUACCACAAGUCCUGGCACAUUGAGGGUCUUGAAUAAAUUCUGUCAGAUGAACGGACAAGCGCACAAAAGGUUGAAAGAGUGAAUGAGGCAGGUUAAAUGACCAGUUCUAGAUUUGUUACUAAGUGACACAGCCUAACUGAGUUUUCUAAUGUUCCACUAACCCUGCUUCCAAGCAGCUUCAGAAUGCAGCUUACAUUUCUGCUAUAAAUAUUUUCUUUAGACUUUUGCUGAUGAAUUGAAGUUUCAUAACAAGAAGAAAGCAGAUGGCUUUUGGGAGGGGUUUAUACUUGCUCUUUUAACUGUGUUUCUGUUUUGCUUGUUUAUGCAGAGUGUGCACAAAGGUUGCCAGAGCCUUAAUUUCAAACUGCAUCAUUUAAUAAAAUACAAUAAGGAGAAUUAAGAAAGAAGGCUGCAGGGGAACAUCCUGCUUAUUAUCUCUGUAAUGAGAGGACUAUUUUUUCUCCCAUCAGUUGCCAAUGAUGAGGUUUUUUGUUUCCUUUUGUGCAGGCACAAUUGUGAUAUUCAACGAGAGUAGUGCGAAGUGCCACUUUACAGCCAAACAUUCAAUUCCUCCUAAUUCACAAGGGAGAGAGGGAUCAAGUUGUGCAGCUGGGAGGUGAUGUUUCUUCCCAGCAGCUGUCAUUGAGGAGACACGUGCAAACCAUAGAAGUCAUUUGUCACAAGAACCCCAUCCAGAAUUUGCUAUGUGCGUCUCACUUGCUAACGUGACAUGAAAUACUGAAGCUUUCAAAAAUCAAGUACAGAGACUUUGUUGUGUUGACAUGGGCAAAAUGAAAUGAAGAGCUGAGGCAAUUAUGUGGAUAAAUCAGGCCAAAAAUAUCCAACCAUUGAGAGGAAAAAGUUCCUUUGGCUCAAAUUAUUCAGAGUGACUGUCCAUGUUCAUCAAUUUAUCAGGAUAAUGAAUUUUAUCCUAUACUUUACUUUGUCACUAUAGAUAUAUCUUUAGUCUAUGAAUUUGAAUGACUUUGUGAUAUUUUACUUCACUGAAAAUUAUAAUAGGGGUUGAAUGAGCAAGCACCGUGUUAAAAGAUUGCUACUGCAGCUAUGAUAAUAGUCCAGGAGAUUUUAAACCCCGUUAUUCAAUAGCUAGCAGACAUAGUUAUUGGAAUGGGGGUAGAGAGGGAGACACGAAAUCUGUUGAGAAUCAAAUGCUUGUAACUAAUCUGUCUUUCCCAUUUAGCAUCCUAUUAUCCAAAAAUAUCUUGGUCUGUAGCUCCCACCUGGUUUCCUGGUCAUUUGACUACUGGUUAAAUGAGCCUGAAAAUUUCAUCAGGUUUCAUAUAAAGAAUAAUAUAUUAUAGUUACAUACAUAUAAAUGUAUAUCUUUGUGUAUUUUUAAUAUCCCUUAUUUAUCUACAAAGAGAUGAAUGUUUGAAAUAUGUGACGGAUAAGCAAGGUCAAUUCUUGUGUCUGCUCAUGCAUUGGCAUUGAGCUUUCUGCUUGGAGUCCUUAGCAUAUUCCGCACUUGAGCCAUCCUUCUUGUUUCUUCAUACUUCCAGAGCCACUAGAAUCACAGGCAAAAGGGCAGGAGCUUCUCCUUGGGGCAGAGGGAGAACCUCUGAGCAUUACCCUGGGUGGUUUGGUCCUGCCAGAGUCUCUUAAACAUUAGAGACAACUCACCAUUUGGAAGUUACAAAUCAUGAAAGUGCUCACUGAAGCAAAAUAAUACCACAUAAGAAAUAAAUGCCUAAUGUUGAUGAACAUUUUAAUCUUUAUUAUAAAAUUAUAACACAAAGAAGAAUCCUGAAGAAUGACCCUAAAGCUUUUGUCACAAUAGCAUUGUAAUGGAAAUACAGGUGUGUUUUCUUUUCUUUCUUUUUUCCUUUUUUGAGACAGGGUCUUGCUUUGUCACCCAGGGUGGUGUGCAGUGGAGCUAUCAUGGCUCACUGUAGCCUCGACCUCCUGGGCUCAAGCAAUCCUCCCACCUCAGCCUAUUGGGCAGCUGGGACUACAGGCAUGCAUAACCACAUCCAGCUAAUUUUUUGUAGAGAUGGGGUUUCUCCAUGUAUUGCCCAGGCUGGUCUCGAACUCCUUGGCUCAAGUGAUUCUCCCACCUUAGCCUCCCAAAGUGCUGGGAUUACAAGCAUGAGCCACCACACCUGGCCUAUGUGUGUUUUAUGAUUAAAAAAGAAAUACAUACAAUUAUUGGGACAGAACAAAAUAAAGAGAAAAAUACAAAUUACCUGUAAUUCAACUAUCCAGAGAUAAUUAUUUUUUACGGACUGAAUGAUGUUCUCCAAAAUUCAUAUGUUGAAGCCCUAGCCCCUAAUGUGAUUAAUAUGGUUUGGCUGUGUCCCCACCCAAAUCUCAUCUUGAAUUGUAACUCCCACAAUUCCCAUGUGUUGUGGGAAGAAACUAAUGGGAGGUAAUUGAAUCAUGGGGACGGGUCUUUCCCAUGCUGUUCUUAUGAUAGUGAAUAAGUCUCACGAGAUCUGAUGGCUUUAAAAAAUGGGAGUUUUCCUGUAUAAGCUCUCCCUCUCUUUGCCUGCUGCCAUCCAUGUAAGACAUGACUUUUUCCUCCUUGCCUUCCACCAUGAUUGUGAGGCCUCGCCAGCCAUGUGGAACUGUAAGUCCAUUAAAUGUCUUUCUUUUGUAAGUUGCCCAGUCUCAGGUAUGUCUUUAUCAGCAGUGUGAAAAUGAACUAAUACAGUAAAUUGGUACCAGUAGAGUGGGUUGCUGCUGUAAAUACCCGAAAAUGUGAAAACGACUUUGGAACUGGGUAACAGGCAGGGGUUGGAACAGUUUGGAGGGCUCAGAAGAAGACAGGAAAACGUGGGACAGUUUGGAACUUCCUAGAGACUUGUUGAAUGACUUUGCCCAAAAUGCUGAUAGUGAUAUAGACAAUGAAGUCCAGCCUGAGGUGGCUUCAGAUGGAGAUGAGGAACUUCUUGGGAACUGGAGCAAAGGUGACUCUUGUUAUGUUUAGCAGCAUUUUGCCCCUGGGCAUUUUGCCCCCAUCCUAGAGCUUUGUGGAACUUUGAACUCGAGAGAGAUAAUUUUGGGUAUCUGGCAGAAGAAAUUUCUAAGCAGCAAAGCAUUCCAGAGGUGACCUGGUUCACCACUUGGGUGCUGUUAAAGGCAUUCAGUUUCAAAAGGGAAAUGGAGAAUAAAAGUUCAGAAAACUUGCAGCCUGACAAUGUGAUAGAAAAGAAAAUCCCAUUUUCUGAGGAGAAAUUCAAGCUGGCUGCAGAAAUUUGCAUAAGUAAUGAGGAGCCAAAUGUUAAUCCCCAAGACAAUGGGGAAAAUGUCUCAAGGGCAUGUCAGAGGUCUUCACAGCAGCCCCUCUCAUCACAGGCCCAGAGGCCAAGGAGGAAAAAGUGGUUUUGUGGGCUGGGCCCAGGGUGCCUCGCUGUGUGCAGUCUAGGGACUUGGUGUCCUGCAUCCCAGCUGCUCCAGCCAUGACUAAAGGGGCCAAGGUACAGCUCAGAUUGUUGCUUCAGAGGGUACAAGCCCCCAGCCUUGGCAUCUUCCAUGUGGUGUUGAGCCUGUGUGUGCACAGAAGUCAAGAAUUGAAGUUUGGGAACCUCUGCCUAGAUUUCAGAGGAUGUAUGGAAAUGCCUGGAUGCCCAGGCAGAAGUUUGCUGCAGGGGCAGGGCUCUCAUGGAGAACCCCUAUGAGGGCAAUGCAAAAGGGAAAUGUGGGGUUGGAGUCCCCACACAGAUCUCUACUGAGACACCACCUAGUGGAGCUGUGAGAAGAGGGUCAUCACUAUCCUCCAGAACCCAGAAUGCUAGAUCCACCAACAGCUUACACUGUUUGCCUGAAAAAGCCACAGACACUCAAUGCCAGCCUGUUAAAGCAGCUGGGAGGGAGUCUGUACCCUUCAAAGCCUGGAUGUGAGACAUCGAGUUAAAGGAGAUCAUUUGGAGCUUUAAGAUUUGACUACCCCACAGGAUUUCAGACUUGCAUGGGGCUUGUAGCCCCUUUGUUUUAGCCAAUUUCUCUCAUUUGGAAUGGCUGUAUUUACCCAAUGCCUGAACCCCCACUGUAUCUAGGAAGUAACUAAUUUGCUUUUGAUUUUAUAGGCUCAUAGGCUGAAGGGACUUGCUUUGUCUGAGACUGUGGACUUUUGAGUUAAUGCUGAAAUGAGUUAUGACUUUGGAGGAAUAUUAGAAAGGCGUGAUUGGAUUUGAAAUGUGAGGACAUGAGAUUUGGAAGGGGCCAGGGGUGGAAUGAUAUGGUUUGGCUGUGUCCCCACCCAAAUCUCAUCUCUAAUUGUAACUUCCACAAUUCCCAUGUAUGAUGAGAGGAAACAGUGGGAGGUAAUUGAAUCACAGGGACGGGUCUUUCCCAUAUUGUUCUUGUGAUAGUGAAUAAGUCUCAUGAGCUCUGAAGGCUUUACAAAUGAGAGUUUCCCUUCACAAGCCCUCUCUCUCCCUCUCUUUGCCUGCUGCCAUCCAUGUAAGACAUGAUUUGUUCCUCCUUGUCUUCCACCAUGAUUGUGAGGCUCCCCAGCCAUGUGGAAGUGUAAGUCCAAUUAAACCUCUUUCUUUUGUAAAUUGCCCAGUCUUGGGUAUGUCUUUAUCAGCAGCAUGAAAACGGACUAAUACAGUGAUAGUAUUUGAAAAGGGGCCUUUGGGAGGUAAACAAGGUUAAACAAGGUCAUGAGGACCCUAAUCCAAUAGGAUUUGUGCCCUUAUGAAAACAGGGAGAGACAAACCAGAGCUCAUUGGCUAUCUCUUCCAUGUUGGGACACACAAAGAAGAUGGCCAUCUCCAAGACAGAAAUGUGAUCAUGCUGGCACCUUGACCCUGAACUUCUAGCCUUUGGAACUGUGAAAAUAAAUUUGUUUUUUACGCCACCCAGUCUAUGGUAUUUUGUUAUGGUAGUCCAAGCUGACUAACACACCACUGUUAAUAUUUUUACAUCCUUUUAUAUUUUAAUAUUAUUCUAUACUAAAAUAUAUAUCUAUCCAUCAACCCAUCCAUCCUUACGUACCUAUAAAGAUGGUGCUAUACGCAAUGGUUUACAU
Molecule: long non-coding RNA, 7765 nt
Filed under: Homo sapiens (human)
Lineage: Eukaryota; Metazoa; Chordata; Mammalia; Primates; Hominidae
Description: PREDICTED lncRNA (TCONS_00235514)
Source: RNAcentral